GCUCGCUCCGCUGCGGCGGGUGGAAGCUGGAGGUGGGGGUGCUGGGAGGGAGCUGAGUGCGGUGUAGGGGUAUCGUCCUUCUGUUCUCCGAUCUGCGUGCUCCUGUAGAGGCAGGAAGGAGAUGGAGAGAAAUUCGCUCCGAAAGUCUACAUUACUGACCUGCAUUUCUGUUUAUCCAACAGAACCCCUCUCCCUGUUGUCUCUCAUUCCUCUUGCUUACGAAGUCGAGUCAGCGGAGUUCAGGCACUGGAGCUGUAAGAAACCAUGUCCCUUACUCUGAGUUCCACCUUCGAGGAUUCCAGAGGAAAGUAUGCCUGCUGGCUGGCACGUCUGCAGCCUGAGGACAUCUGCUGUUGACCUCCUCCCCCACCAUGGGCCGCGCCUCCAACCACUCCCCAGAGUAGAAACCUGAGAGACCUACAGGACACCCUGAGAUGCCACCCUCAGGAGCGGGCACUCCCAGCAGCCUGGCUUCCCUUUGACUUCCUUUUUGACUUUGUUCAGACUCUUCCUGACUACUCCUGAAUUGCUUAUGUUAUUCAAAUGUCAUUGUAACCUA
Mastomys coucha (southern multimammate mouse) is the source of this 559-nucleotide long non-coding RNA. RefSeq lists it as uncharacterized. The record is from RefSeq and is a predicted model, not a curated record. NCBI's taxonomy places the organism in Eukaryota, Metazoa, Chordata, Mammalia, Rodentia, Muridae. The transcript has 3 exons.